Molecule: long non-coding RNA, 1207 nt
Filed under: Betta splendens (Siamese fighting fish)
Lineage: Eukaryota; Metazoa; Chordata; Actinopteri; Anabantiformes; Osphronemidae
Description: lncRNA (ENSBSLG00000011040.1)
Source: RNAcentral
UUUAAGGUAUCAGCUUUGAAAAAUGUUCAGUAGGGGAAAGAAGCCCUUCCCCUAAAAAACCUCAAGAUACAGCAGGUAGGUUGUCCAUGUGAUGACACAAAGAUAGAUGAUUACUGUUUAUAAUUAAUGUUUACUGUUAAUUGUAAGACAAGACCCCAUAAAGAGUUUGUGAUCAGUCCUUUAAAUUGUAAAUAGUUUAUUUUAGUUCUAUUAAUUUAACUAACUUAAUUUAACUUAAUAUUUUAGUUUCAUUAAUAAUCCUUUUUUAAAAUCUACUGACACUUAAUCUGCCACAUUGACUUUUUGGAUUCAUAUUGAUUAAAUUUUACUGUCCUCUACAAUGGCCAACAUGUAAAUAAAAUAUGCUACUAGGCGUUAAGCCCACAAUUCUGAGUGGCUUUGUGCCUUUAGAGGGAGGCAGCAAUGGAAGAUCUGCAGCUGGGGUCCUAUAUACGGGUGUCGCACCUUAAAGCAAAGAGUCUAUGAACUCCGGCUGCAGUCAACAACAUACAAAGUUUGAGCUUUAAAAAAAGGUCCCAAACAUUACCAGCCAGGAGCUCAGAAGGGUCACUGAAACAAAUGUUCUUUCAAUGUUCUCUGGAGCAAGAAGCAAAAGAUAAGGUGGCUCAUUAUAUGGCCCACACAACAGCUGUGGCAAAGUCACAUUAGAUGAAAACAGCAGAAGAAACUGGCCACUGCAAACAUUAUGGCCAGUUUAACUGAUUGCAGCUCAGAUGAGACAAGAACUGGAGCAAAAAAGGAGGAGCCAGCAAUUCCAGCCUUGCAAGAUGGCAGAAAAGUUUGCGGUGACCAUGAAUGGGAAGUUACCCUCAAAGAUAAAUGCUGGGUGCCCUGCAAUGGACUGGCAACCUGUUCAGGGUGUACCCCGCGUCUCACCCUCAGCUAGCUGGAAUAGGCUUCAGCCCCUCCAGUGACUCCAAUUGGGACCAAGUGGGAGAAAAUGGAUGGAUAAAUGCUCGGUUCCAAGUGGAGAGAAGCGUCUAUGAUAAGUGGAGGGCUGCCCAGUUUCAAAAAUAAAGAGCAUCUACUGUCAAAAUGUUACAGGCGGCAGCCCACAGUGGCCAAAGUAACUAAAAUCAUUGAAGCAAAGGGCUGGAGUGCAAAUUACCCUUCCCCAGCACACAUGAAAUGGAGACCAUCCAAAAAAAAUAAAUAAAAAAAUAAAAGGUUAAGGUUGGUGAUGCCA